GGGUUGUGAGGUUAAGCGACUAAGCGUACACGGUGGAUGCCCUGGCAGUCAGAGGCGAUGAAGGACGUGCUAAUCUGCGAUAAGCGUCGGUAAGGUGAUAUGAACCGUUAUAACCGGCGAUUUCCGAAUGGGGAAACCCAGUGUGUUUCGACACACUAUCAUUAACUGAAUCCAUAGGUUAAUGAGGCGAACCGGGGGAACUGAAACAUCUAAGUACCCCGAGGAAAAGAAAUCAACCGAGAUUCCCCCAGUAGCGGCGAGCGAACGGGGAGCAGCCCAGAGCCUGAAUCAGUGUGUGUGUUAGUGGAAGCGUCUGGAAAGGCGCGCGAUACAGGGUGACAGCCCCGUACACAAAAAUGCACAUGCUGUGAGCUCGAUGAGUAGGGCGGGACACGUGGUAUCCUGUCUGAAUAUGGGGGGACCAUCCUCCAAGGCUAAAUACUCCUGACUGACCGAUAGUGAACCAGUACCGUGAGGGAAAGGCGAAAAGAACCCCGGCGAGGGGAGUGAAAAAGAACCUGAAACCGUGUACGUACAAGCAGUGGGAGCACGCUUCGGCGUGUGACUGCGUACCUUUUGUAUAAUGGGUCAGCGACUUAUAUUCUGUAGCAAGGUUAACCGAAUAGGGGAGCCGAAGGGAAACCGAGUCUUAACUGGGCGUUAAGUUGCAGGGUAUAGACCCGAAACCCGGUGAUCUAGCCAUGGGCAGGUUGAAGGUUGGGUAACACUAACUGGAGGACCGAACCGACUAAUGUUGAAAAAUUAGCGGAUGACUUGUGGCUGGGGGUGAAAGGCCAAUCAAACCGGGAGAUAGCUGGUUCUCCCCGAAAGCUAUUUAGGUAGCGCCUCGUGAAUUCAUCUCCGGGGGUAGAGCACUGUUUCGGCAAGGGGGUCAUCCCGACUUACCAACCCGAUGCAAACUGCGAAUACCGGAGAAUGUUAUCACGGGAGACACACGGCGGGUGCUAACGUCCGUCGUGAAGAGGGAAACAACCCAGACCGCCAGCUAAGGUCCCAAAGUCAUGGUUAAGUGGGAAACGAUGUGGGAAGGCCCAGACAGCCAGGAUGUUGGCUUAGAAGCAGCCAUCAUUUAAAGAAAGCGUAAUAGCUCACUGGUCGAGUCGGCCUGCGCGGAAGAUGUAACGGGGCUAAACCAUGCAC
This 1161-nucleotide ribosomal RNA is filed under the name Escherichia coli. Its description in RNAcentral is "partial 23S ribosomal RNA". It matches the Rfam family "Bacterial large subunit ribosomal RNA", at positions 1 to 1194 of the family's 2925-position model. The record is from RNAcentral. Lineage: Bacteria; Pseudomonadati; Pseudomonadota; Gammaproteobacteria; Enterobacterales; Enterobacteriaceae.